Molecule: ribosomal RNA, 910 nt
Filed under: Phyllosticta foliorum
Lineage: Eukaryota; Fungi; Ascomycota; Dothideomycetes; Botryosphaeriales; Phyllostictaceae
Description: LSU rRNA
Rfam family: Eukaryotic large subunit ribosomal RNA
Source: RNAcentral
UAGCAUAUCAAUAAGCGGAGGAAAAGAAACCAACAGGGAUUGCCUCAGUAACGGCGAGUGAAGCGGCAAUAGCUCAAAUUUGAAAGCUGGCGUCUUCGACGUCCGCGUUGUAAUUUGUAGAGGAUGCUUCGGCGAGGACUCCUGCCUAAGUCCCCUGGAACGGGGCGUCACAGAGGGUGAGAAUCCCGUAUGUGGCGGGCGGUCCGAGCCAUGUGAAGCUCCUUCGACGAGUCGAGUUGUUUGGGAAUGCAGCUCUAAAUGGGAGGUAAAUUUCUUCUAAAGCUAAAUAUUGGCCAGAGACCGAUAGCGCACAAGUAGAGUGAUCGAAAGAUGAAAAGCACUUUGGAAAGAGAGUUAAAAAGUACGUGAAAUUGUUGAAAGGGAAGCGCUUGCAACCAGACUCGCUCGCAGUUGCUCAGCCGGCCUCUUGGCCGGUGUACUCUUCUGCGAUCGGGCCAGCAUCAGUUCGGGCGGCCGGAUAAAGGUGUCGGGAAUGUAGCACCCUUCGGGGUGUGUUAUAGCCCGGCGCGGAAUGCGGCCAGCCUGGACUGAGGAUCUCGCUUCGGCAAGGAUGCUGGCGUAAUGGUUGUAAGCGGCCCGUCUUGAAACACGGACCAAGGAGUCUAACAUCUAUGCGAGUGUUUGGGUGUCAAACCCAUGCGCGUAAUGAAAGUGAACGGAGGUGGGAACCCCUCACGGGGUGCACCAUCGACCGAUCCUGAUGUCUUCGGAUGGAUUUGAGUAAGAGCAUAGCUGUUGGGACCCGAAAGAUGGUGAACUAUGCCUGAAUAGGGUGAAGCCAGAGGAAACUCUGGUGGAGGCUCGCAGCGGUUCUGACGUGCAAAUCGAUCGUCAAAUUUGGGUAUAGGGGCGAAAGACUAAUCGAACCAUCUAGUAGCUGGUUCCUGCG